This 1072-nucleotide long non-coding RNA is filed under the name Homo sapiens (human). RNAcentral describes it as "HSALNT0151055". The record is from RNAcentral. Lineage: Eukaryota; Metazoa; Chordata; Mammalia; Primates; Hominidae.
AUUCCUGGGUCUCUAUAGUCUCAUCUUUAACAUAAAGAGGUUGAAGUGUUUUCAACUCAAUGUCUCCGAGAUAAGAGCAGGACCCGGACGGUAGGAAUCCACAGGCUGUGUCCCUACCAUGUAACCAGCGACCCUGUCUCCACAAGUCUGCCUUUUACUAUGCCUUGUAUGCACUGCCUCCUCUCUAGUUGCAUUCUCUCUGCCUGCUUCAGCCCUUGCAUAUCUAUUCCCUGGGCUCCUCCAGUGGUUCCUGUGUAGUCUGUGCCUCCAACCCAGUGGUUUCUAACCAGAGAACUAUUUUGCUCCCCAGGGGAAAUUCAGCAGUAUCUGGAGACAUUUUUGGUUGUCAAGACCAGUGGGGUCCUUCUGGCAUCUACUGGAUAGAAGCCAUGGAAGCUACUAAACAUCCUACAAUGCACAGGAAUCCCACAAAAAGAACUGUCUAGCUCAAGAGCCCACUGAUUUUAUGUCAGACACUCCAAUGGGACUAAAAAGGAACAAAUGCCCUCAAGGCAGCUCAAGGCACUGAUAUCCAGUAGGGCACACAGAAAAGUGGGCACACAAUUCAAUCAGCAGAGGCAGAACUUUGUCAUCGCCUCUGUGAUCCCACUGCCAUCUCCCCAGUGGACUGUGAGCCUCCAGAAGAGAGAGCAUCUUCAUGUCUUCAUCUUUAUAGUCCACAGGAACUUGGACAUGGUAAGUGUGGUCUACAGGGUGUACAACUUGUAUUUGUCACAAUUGUUGCAUUAAGGAAUGAAUGAAUUCCCAGCCUCUUUAAGUUUGGCUCUAGCACAGAAAUAAAAAGAAAUGAAACAUUAAAAUAUAGAGAUGAAACAAAAUUCUUCAUAGUGCAUGCACUCAAAAGCCCAGAAACAAGGCCCAUUCACAAAGAUGAAAACAUCUUCUUUGUUUAGAGCUCUAAUCUGUCUCUCUUCUCUUUAUAAAUCUGAGAAGUGUAAAUCUAUAUAAUAGGUAUCUAUCUAAUGAAAUGCCUGAAUCCCAUUGCUUGACAUUCAAAGACAAGGGCCAUGGAGCAGAAUUUGACUAGUAACAGAGGUACAAUGGUAUCCAG